UACGGAGGAGGCAAGCGUUAUCCGGAAUUAUUGGGCGUAAAGCGUCCGUAGGUGGUUUAGUAAGUCUGCUGUUAAAGCGCGGGGCUUAACUCCGUAUCGGCAGUGGAAACUACUAGACUAGAGUGUGGUAGGGGUAGAGGGAAUUCCCAGUGUAGCGGUGAAAUGCGUAGAUAUUGGGAGGAACACCGGUGGCGAAGGCGGAUCUCUGGGCCAUUACUGACGCUGAGGAGCGAAAGCGUGGGGAGCGAACAGG
RNAcentral lists this ribosomal RNA (253 nucleotides) under uncultured bacterium. RNAcentral's name for it is "partial 16S ribosomal RNA". It matches the Rfam family "Bacterial small subunit ribosomal RNA", at positions 524 to 776 of the family's 1533-position model. The record is from RNAcentral.